RNAcentral lists this ribosomal RNA (998 nucleotides) under uncultured bacterium. Its description in RNAcentral is "bacterial SSU rRNA". It matches the Rfam family "Bacterial small subunit ribosomal RNA", at positions 358 to 1376 of the family's 1533-position model. The record is from RNAcentral.
GGAAUUUUGCGCAAUGGGUGAAAGCCUGACGCAGCAACGCCGCGUGCGGGAUGACGGCCUUCGGGUUGUAAACCGCUUUCAGUGGGAAAGAUAAUGACGGUACCCACACAAGAAGCUCCGGCUAAAUACGUGCCAGCAGCCGCGGUAAUACGUAUGGAGCAAGCGUUAUCCGGAUUUAUUGGGCGUAAAGCGCGCGUAGGCGGCUUGUUAAGCAAGGUCUUAAAUCUUGGGGCUCAACCUCAAGCCGGAUCUUGAACUGGCAGGCUCGAGUAUGGUAGAGGAAAGUGGAAUUCCCAGUGUAGCGGUGGAAUGCGCAGAUAUUGGGAAGAACACCGAUGGCGAAGGCAGCUUUCUGGGCCAUUACUGACGCUGAGGUGCGAAAGCUAGGGGAGCAAACAGGAUUAGAUACCCUGGUAGUCCUAGCCGUAAACGAUGGGCACUAGGUGUGGGGAGGAUAACCUUUCCGUGCCGCAGCUAACGCAUUAAGUGCCCCGCCUGGGGAGUACGGCCGCAAGGUUGAAACUCAAAGGAAUUGACGGGGGCCCGCACAAGCAGUGGAGUAUGUGGUUUAAUUCGAAGCAACGCGAAGAACCUUACCAGGUCUUGACAUCCGAUGCAUAGCACAGAGAUGUGUGAAAUCCUUCGGGACAUCGAGACAGGUGGUGCAUGGUUGUCGUCAGCUCGUGUCGUGAGGUGUCGGCUUAAGUGCCAUAACGAGCGCAACCCUUAUCUUCAGUUACUAACAGGUUAUGCUGAGGACUCUGGAGAGACUGCCGUCGUAAGAUGUGAGGAAGGUGGGGAUGACGUCAAAUCAGCACGGCCCUUACGUCCGGGGCUACACACGUGUUACAAUGGGGGGUACAGAAGGCCGCUACCUGGUGACAGGAUGCCAAUCCCAAAAACCUCUCUCAGUUCGGAUCGAAGUCUGCAACCCGACUUCGUGAAGCUGGAUUCGCUAGUAAUCGCGCAUCAGCCAUGGCGCGGUGAAUACGUUCCCG